This is a long non-coding RNA of Oncorhynchus gorbuscha (pink salmon), 637 nucleotides long. RefSeq lists it as uncharacterized. Lineage: Eukaryota; Metazoa; Chordata; Actinopteri; Salmoniformes; Salmonidae. The transcript is spliced from 4 exons. The record is from RefSeq and is a predicted model, not a curated record.
ACAGAACCACCCACCACAAAAGGACCAAGCAGCGUGGUAAUGGGCAUCAGCACCGAUGUCAGGAUUUCUGGACAUGGGAGCAAAAUCUGGACUGUGUCACUACUUGGGAGGAGAUAGACAGGUGGGUGGUCGACCCAGGGAGAGUGUCGCAGCCCGCCUGGGAUUUUCUGGAGCAGUGGGAGGAGGGAUACCGGCGAAUGGAAUCAGCACGGCGGCACGUGACUCCCCCAAGCUGGUGCGCUACAUCCAUGACCGGGGACUGAAGCUGGUUGUCUACUGGGACAUGGGCACACGCACACACGUGUGGGGUUGACCCUGGUACCCCCUUGGACAAGAUCACUAUAGAUGCUCAGACUUUUGAUGACUGGAAAGUGGACAUGCUGAAGUUUGAUGGCUGUUACCCCAACGCUACAGAGCAGGAGCAGGGCUCUGAAAUCUACCAGGCACCUCAUUGGUUACUGCUGCAGUUGGCCCGCCUACCAGGGUGGACUCCUUCCCUAGGCGAACUACAACCAGCUAGAAGAGAUCUACAACCUGUGGCGUAACUAUGGCAACAUAAAGGACUCAUGGGCUUAUUGUGCUGAGCAUCACUGAUUGGUUCUUCAACAAGCAAGAUGUCCCUACAGCCUAUUUUCUC